CGAAAAUAAACACUGCAUAAGGGGAUCUUACUUUCUUAAUUCUAUUUUGCUUUUGAUUUUUCUUUUUCCCCCAUUCCAGAAAGCAAAAGGUGAUCUUUCUUUCUUAAUUUUAAUUUAUAGCAAGAAAUGCGAUGCACGGCAACAACAUAUGUUCAGACCAAGUGAUUGUAGAAAUAAUUGAAAUGGGUUUUGAGUAUUCAAAUAUGGUCGAAGCCAUUAAAGGAGUGGGUCUCUCUGUUCCUAGUGUUGUGGAGCACAUCCUCAACACCCCCAAAUUGCAAGAACACAACAAGAACCCUCUCAGAAGACAACCUUUGCGCACGUGUCGUCUAGUUCGGCAGGCCAAGAGCCAUUUCAAGUUCAAGAUUUGGAUGUUGCAUCAGAUUGGGAGCGGAAAGUUAGCAACCUGAUGGAAAAGCAUUUUGGGUUUUCAUCCUUGAAGAGUUUUCAGAAGGAAGCCCUCUCUUCCUGGCUUGGUCAUAAAGACUUGUCCUCGCUGCAACAGGAUCUAGUUUUGUUCUUUAAUUAUUCAAUAUUUGCGCCUACGACAUGUUUGGAUAAUUUUUUCUUGAAUCAUUUUUAAAAUAAAAAAUAGAAAAUAAAAAUGAAAAUAAAUUUCCCUGUAAGCUAAAACUAACUGAUGCAUGAAUUUAAAUAAGAUUUUGAAAAAGUUACGAAAGAACUAUAAUAUGACUUAUAAAUAAGUUAAUUUUAGUUUAUAAAAAUUUUAUUUCAUUUUUACUUCUUAACUUGCUACACUAAAAGUAAAGAUAUCGUUACUUACUAGGUUCUUGAGUUUUUGUGCAUUUAUUUAUAAUUAUGUUUUUGGCACAGACAAGUCUCUAUGCUUUCGGAUUCCUGCAUUGUUGUCGGGGAAAGUGGUGGUUGUGAUUUCACCCUUGAUAAGCCUCAUGCACGACCAGUGUUUAAAGCUAACAAAAGAUGGAAUCAGUGCGUGCUUUCUUUGUUCGGGGCAACCUGAUGAUACUGUUGAACAGAAAGCAAUGAGAGGCUUGUAUAAUAUAGUUUAUGUCUGCCCAGAGUCAGUGUUGAGAUUGAUUCAACCACGCAAAAGCUUUCAGAAAGUUGCGGAAUUGCUUUAUUUACAAUUGACGAGACUGUGUGCUGCGGGAGAAUUUCAGUGCUAGUAAGCUAAAAUCCAUGGAAUUUGAUAUACCUCUGAUGGCCUUGACAGCUACGGCUACAAAAGUAGUUCAUUAAGACAUUUUAAAAUCACUAUGCAUGUCAAAAGAAACGAAUGUUGUUCUUACAUCGUUUUUUCGAUCUAAUUUACGCUUCAUGGUGAAGGAUAAUCGAACAUCAAAGGCUUCUUAUGCAAAAGACUUUGGUGAAUUGAUUGAAGUAUAUAUGGUAGAAAGCAAAAUAUUGAUGGAAAUGAAAGGCUUUCAUGUCAAAUGAUUCUGAUUAUGUUUCUCAUGGCUCCGAUGCUUGUAGUAGCUCUGAUAGAGACAGUGUUUCUUUUGAUGAUGUGGAUGACAACCAAGAUGAUUAUGCUUACAAGAUGAUUUUUUAAUGUUACCCAUGGUGAAAAGCCUCCUCACAUGGGAUUGGAAUUACCUGAGGCAAUUGAUCCACCUAAGAAACCAGAAGGAAGACUUAAAUUUCUUAAAGAGCCUUUGGAACACGGACCAGCAAUCAUAUAUGUAUCCACCAGAAAAGAAACUUUGAGAAUUGCAAAGUUUCUAUGCAAGUUUGGUGUGAAGGCUGCUACUUAUAAUGCAGGGGUUUUAAACUAAUUUAUGAGCACAAUCUCAUUUUCAUGAAAGUACUUUAGAGGUAUGUUUCCAGAGCUUGAAGUAAAUAUUGUAGAUGUUUCAUGGGAGGGGGGUUUUAAAGAGGCGCAAAAGUGUUAUAUUUGAAUUGAGCUGGCCAGUUAUCAGUUAUGGUAUGGUAUCAUUGUAUCUUUUGAUAUUUGUGGUGUGCUAUUCACAUAACUACUACAUAAAUGAAUGGAACUUAUUAUUUGAUUUAGAUGGGCUUUCUGAUUUUCAGGUUUUUGCAUACCAAAUCUCUUCAUCCCCCUUCCCGAAUGUCAUCUGACUUUGAUGGCUUUGGCUGUUUGAAGCCCUGCCAUGCUUAUUAUACAUCUAAGUUUUGUGUUUCUUUGUAAUUGAUUGUUUUUUACUGCAUAAGUCUUGACAUAAUCAAGCGCCCAAAAAAAUGAAGAACUGAAUUUUGUGAAAGUUUGGUGAUUUUGAGACACAUAUCUGAAUUGUUUUUACCCUUGUUUAUUCCUAUGUUGUUUGUGUUUACUGCAUAAUUUCAAUCAUUUCCUUCAUUCUGGAACCAUAAAAAGUUUUUCCAAAUAACAUUUUUGUUGUAUGCAUGUGUAUUAUCAAUCAGGUUAUUAUUGCUUUGAUAGCUUUUGGAAUGGGUAUUGACAAAGGAAAAAUGUCAGAAGAAUCAUCGACUAUGGUUGGUCACAAGUUUGUUUUUAAAGUACAUUUCUCCUGGCAUUAUUAAUUAUAGAGUUGAAGAAAUCUCAAAUAGUUGGAUAUGUAUUUUUUAAUGAGUUUGGAAGACUACUGCCCAAAAGCUGGACGGGUCGGUCAACAUGGGAAAUUUGCAGAUUGCACACUAUUUACAUUUGGCCAACAAUCAGAUCUGUAUGCAAACAUAGGAAGCAAGCCGUCACGUUUGCCUAGUUGGAAAAUUGAAGAGCCAGAUGAAGCAAGCCUAUAUCAUAUAUAUAAUGAAUACUUCAUGUUGUCGAGCAAAGAUGUUGAAUACUUUGGAGAGGAUUUCAGUCAUUGGAGAUGUCUCUACUUUCCUUAUGAGCCCCGUUUCUUGCUGCUGUCACUUGUGCAUUAAUGGUCCACCACAAAGACUAUCUAAAAGAAGAUGUAGUUGAUCUAAUGAGCAGGUACAAGCCAAAGCUUGAGACAGCAAGUUUGUUGGAAAUAAGCCUUCGUGGUCCUGACUUGCAUUAUGGGAGGUGGAACACUCUUGAUGUUUGUGGUCGAGCAAUGUUAGAGAGUUUCCAUUGAGAUCUUUGAAGAGAACUGUGAGUGGGAAGAUAAAAACAUUACACCAUUGCAGAUACGGAUAUCUAUUAGGUAAUCUUUCCUUUAAUUUUAAGCAUUUUGAUU
Non-coding RNA from Cajanus cajan (pigeon pea), 3110 nucleotides. The record is from RefSeq and is a predicted model, not a curated record. NCBI's taxonomy places the organism in Eukaryota, Viridiplantae, Streptophyta, Magnoliopsida, Fabales, Fabaceae.